This 485-nucleotide ribosomal RNA is filed under the name uncultured bacterium. RNAcentral's name for it is "partial 16S ribosomal RNA". It matches the Rfam family "Bacterial small subunit ribosomal RNA", at positions 899 to 1397 of the family's 1533-position model. The record is from RNAcentral.
ACUCAAAUGAAUUGACGGGGGCCCGCACAAGCGGCGGAGCGUGCGGUUUAAUUCGACGCAACGCGAAGAACCUUACCAGGGCUUGACAUGCGCCUGCAGGGCCGGGAAACCGGUCGGCUUUCGAAGGUGGCGCACAGGUGCUGCAUGGCUGUCGUCAGCUCGUGUCGUGAGAUGUUGGGUUAAGUCCCGCAACGAGCGCAACCCCCGUGGUCAGUUGCCGAUGUUUCUGGCCAGACUGCCGGCACAAAACCGGAGGAAGGUGGGGAUGAUGUCAAGUCAGCAUGGCCCUUACGUCCUGGGCGACACGCACGCUACAAUGGCCGGGACAGCGGGUAGCCAAGCCGCAAGGCGGAGCGAAUCCCUGAAACCCGGUCUCAGUUGGAAUUGCGGGCUGCAACUCGCCCGCAUGAACGUGGAGUCGCUAGUAACCGCGGGUCAGCAGUACCGCGGUGAAUACGUUCCCGGGCCUUGCACACACCGCCCGU